Molecule: long non-coding RNA, 444 nt
Organism: Culex pipiens pallens (northern house mosquito)
Lineage: Eukaryota; Metazoa; Arthropoda; Insecta; Diptera; Culicidae
Exons: 2
Source: RefSeq, a predicted model, not a curated record
GCUAGAAACUGUCAUCGGCCUUAGGAGAUCGUUCGUGAUGGCGUGAUUUUGUAAAUAAUUAUGAGGAUAAAAUGGAUUUAAAUUAGGUUUUCGUGCAUUAUUUGACCAAAACAGGAUAGAAAAAUAUCUAUGAACAGGUUAUGGCCGGACGAUGACCCUUCCCAGCCCUAGAUGUUCCAGUUUUCCGGAAAGGCGGCGAAAGACGAACAACCAUCUCAGGAAUCAGGAGGACUGUUGGAGCAAAGCAAGCAGGGCCGAAUCCAAAUAGUGAUAGCGCCGGAUCACAACUGCUCUCGCGGGAACUCGUUUAUUCUGGAUGGGCAUGGAUGGAAAAAGCAAGCUUGGCCGAUGGCCGUUUGCUGUCAUCAUUUUAAAAUUGUGAAUUUAGUGUUAUUUUUAUUAUUGAAACAAAUAAAAUUUUGCUGUUUUGAUUUUUGUAAUGUG